CGGCUCGGGGGAAGCCAGACACCGGGGUCCGGGGUGGCGGGCGGCGGGCGCUGGACUGGGCGCCGCAGGGGGGGCGGGCCGGGGAGGAGGCGGGGGCGGGGGCGGGGCGGCGGGGGCGGGGCUUCGCUGCCACUCCACUCACCCCGCCCCCGCCCCACGUGCGGGGGACACUGCGCCCGGGCCGGCCAAUCCGCGACCGGGGUUCCCCAGGGCGGGGAGGGGCCGGCCGGGGCCGCAGCUCUCAUUGGCCGUCUGGGGCGUGAGGGGCGGGGCCUGUGAGGAGGCGCUGACACUCGCCGGGCAGCCGGCGCGGUGGCUCGAGGGGGGCGCCCCUGGAGGAGCGGGUGGGGGACACUGCAACCUCCACCUCCCGGUUUCAAGCAAUUCUUCUGUCUCAGCCUCCCAAGUAGCUGGGAUUGCAGACACGCGCCACCACGCCCAGCUAAUUUUUGUAUUUUCGGUAGAUACGGGGUUUCACCAUGUUGGCCAGGCUGGUCUUGAACUCCUGACCUCAGGUAAUCUGCCCACCUCGGCCUCCCAAAGUGCUGGGAAUACAGGCAUGAGCCAUCGUGCCUGGCUGUUUUUAUGUUUUUUAGAAUCAGAAGAAAAAAAAUAUGUAUUUUUUGUAUUGGUUGGUUUGUGUGUGUGUGUGUGUAUGUAUGUAUGUAUGUAUGUAUGUAUGUAUGUAUGUAUGCAUUUGAAACAGGGUCUUGCUCUGUUGGCUGAAGUGCAGUGGUGCAAUCAUAGCUCACUGCAGCCUCAAUCUCCUGGGUUCAAGCAAUCCUACCACCUCAGCCUCCCAUGUAGCUGGGACUACAGAUGCAUACCACCACGACUGGCUAAUUUUUUUUAUUUUUAGUAGAAAUGGGGGGGUCUCAUUAUGUUGCCCAGGCUGGUCUAGAACUCCUGGCCUCAAGUUAUCCUCCUGCCUUGGCCUCCCAAAGGGCUGGGACCACAGAUGUGAGCCCACCAUGCCUAGUCAAACAGGAGUAUAAUAGUAAUGAAUAUGUAAUAAUGAAUCUGACCUGACUGGUAUCAGUCAGUCUUUAUGCCAAAGCAGUUGUAAAAUACACAUUUGAAUAUCUUUUUUUUUUUCUUUUUUUUGGGGUGGAGUCUCGCUCUAUCACCCAGGCUGGAGUGCAGUAGCGCAAUCUCAGCUCACUGCAACCUCUGCCUCCCUGACUCAAGGCAUUCUCCUGCCUCAGCCUCCCGAGUAGCCAGAGCUUCAGGGACCUGCCACCACGCCUGGGUAAUUUCUAUAUUUUUAGUAGAGAUGGAGUUUCACCAGGUUGGCCAGGCUGGCCUCAAACACCUGACCUCAGGUGAGCUGCCCACUUCGGUCUCCCAGAGUGUUAGGAUUACAGGCGUGAGCCACCGUGCCUAGCCGUAUUUGAAUAUCUUAACCCAUAUAAGUCAAACAUGCCUAGGGCUCACAAAAGUUACAGUGCAUCCUGGCACAGGAGAGGAGGCAGCUCUUGAGUUUCAGUGCAUGCUUUUGAUAUUCACUAUAGGUCAAUGUCGUUGAAAGAAAAAGUGUUUGAGGCUGGGCACAGCGGCUCACGCCUAUAAUCCCAGCACUUUGGGAGGCUUGA
This 1592-nucleotide long non-coding RNA is filed under the name Homo sapiens (human). RNAcentral's name for it is "HSALNT0126644". Lineage: Eukaryota; Metazoa; Chordata; Mammalia; Primates; Hominidae. The record is from RNAcentral.